UGGCAGACGGGUGAGUAACGCGUGGGAAUCUACCCAAUUCUUCGGAACAACUGAGGGAAACUUCAGCUAAUACCGGAUACGCCCUACGGGGGAAAGAUUUAUCGGAAUUGGAUGAGCCCGCGUUGGAUUAGCUAGUUGGUGAGGUAAUGGCUCACCAAGGCGACGAUCCAUAGCUGGUCUGAGAGGAUGAUCAGCCACACUGGGACUGAGACACGGCCCAG
RNAcentral lists this ribosomal RNA (221 nucleotides) under uncultured bacterium. RNAcentral's name for it is "partial 16S ribosomal RNA". It matches the Rfam family "Bacterial small subunit ribosomal RNA", at positions 96 to 334 of the family's 1533-position model. The record is from RNAcentral.